RNAcentral lists this unclassified non-coding RNA (153 nucleotides) under Racocetra sp. RNAcentral describes it as "partial internal transcribed spacer region". The stretch from base 1 to 46 matches the Rfam family "Eukaryotic small subunit ribosomal RNA", at positions 1786 to 1831 of the family's 1831-position model. Lineage: Eukaryota; Fungi; Glomeromycota; Glomeromycetes; Diversisporales; Gigasporaceae. RNAcentral also lists the same sequence under 1 other name. The record is from RNAcentral.
AAGUCGUAACAAGGUUUCCGUAGGUGAACCUGCGGAAGGAUCAUUAAAAAAUUGAGGUAUUCAUACCUCUUUGUAUUUAAAACCUUACUCUAUAAAACCUAAAAUUUAUAUAAAAUAAAUGAAAAACUUUCAACAAUGGAUCUCUUGGCUCUC